RNAcentral lists this ribosomal RNA (1478 nucleotides) under uncultured Bordetella sp. Its description in RNAcentral is "partial 16S-23S ribosomal RNA intergenic spacer". It matches the Rfam family "Bacterial small subunit ribosomal RNA". The record is from RNAcentral. Lineage: Bacteria; Pseudomonadati; Pseudomonadota; Betaproteobacteria; Burkholderiales; Alcaligenaceae.
AGUUCGAUCAUGGCUCAGAUUGAACGCUGGCGGGAUGCUUUACAUGCAAGUCGAACGGCAGCACGGACUUCGGUCUGGUGGCGAGUGGCGAACGGGGUGAGUAGUAAUGUAUCGGAACGCCCAGUAGCGGGGGAUAAUCUACGCGAAAGCGUAGGCCAUUACUGCAUACGUCUUUCGGGGGAAAGCGGGGACCCGGGCCCCGCACUAGAGCGGCCGAUAUCGGAUUAGCUUGGGCUGUGGGGCACCGCUCACUAAGGCGACGAUCCGUAGCUGGUUUGAGAGGACGACCAGCCACACUGGGACUGAGACACGGCCCAGACUCCUACGGGAGGCAGCAGGGGGAAUUUUGACAAUGGGGGAAACCCUGAUCCAGCCAUCCCGCGUAAAAGGGGAGGAAGGCCUUCGGGUUGUAAAGCACUUUUGGCAGGAAAGAAACGGCACGGGAUAAUACCCGUGCAACUGACGGUACCUGCAGAAUAAGCACCGGCUAACUACGCCAGCAGCCGCGGUAAUACGUAGGGUGCAAGCGUUAAUCGGAAUUACUGGGCGUAAGCGUGCGCAGGCGGUUCGGAAGGUAUGAAAUCCCAGAGCUUCUAACUUUGGAACUGCAUUUUUAACUACCUAGCUAGAGUGUGUCAGAGGGAGGUGGAAUUCCGCGUAGCAGUGAAAUGCGUAGAUAUGCGGAGGAACACCGAUGGCGAAGGCAGCCUCCUGAUAACACUGACGCUCCAUGCACGAAAGUACAGGGGGAGCAAACAGGAUUAGAUACCCUGGUAGUCCACGCCCUAAACGAUGUCAACUAGCUGUUGGGGGCCUUCGGGCCUUGCAGUUACAGCUAACGGCGUGAAGUUGACCGCCUGGGGAGUACGGUCGUAAAGAUUGGAACUCAAAGGAAUUGACGGACCCGCACAAGCGGUGGAUGAUGUGGAUUAAUUCGAUGCAACGCGAAAAACCUUACCUACCCUUGACAUGUCUGGAAUCCCGAAGAGAUUUGGGAGUGCUCGCAAGAGAACCGAACACAGGUGCUGCAUGGCUGCUGCCAAUGUGUCGUGAGAUGUUGGGUUAAGUCCCGCAACGAGCGGCAACCCUUGUCAUUAGUUGCUACGAAAGGGCACUCUAAUGAGACUGCCGGUGACAAACCGGAGGAAGGUGGGGACACGUCAAGUCCUCAUGGCCCUUAUGGGUAGGGCUUCACACGUCAUACACAAUGGUCGGGACAGAGGGUCGCCAACCCGCGAGGGGGAGCCAAUCCCCAGAAACCCGAUCGUAGUCCGGAUCGCAGUCUGCAACUCGACUGCGUGAAGUCGGAAUCGCCAGUAAUCGCGGAUCAGCAUGUCGCGGUGAAUACGUUCCGGGUCUUGUACACACCGCCCGUCACACCAUGGGGAGUGGGUUUUACCAGAAGUAGUUAGCCUAACCGUAAGGAGGGCGAUGACCACGGUAGGAUUCAUGACUGGGGUGAAGUCGUAACAAGGUAG